UCCCUGGUAGCUCAGAUGGUAAAGAAUCUGCCUGCAAUGCAGAAGACCCAGGUUUGAUCCCUGGGUCGGGAC
Molecule: transfer RNA, 72 nt
Filed under: Bos taurus (domestic cattle)
Lineage: Eukaryota; Metazoa; Chordata; Mammalia; Artiodactyla; Bovidae
Also listed under: 2 other names
Rfam family: tRNA
About the family: Transfer RNA (tRNA) molecules are approximately 80 nucleotides in length. Their secondary structure includes four short double-helical elements and three loops (D, anti-codon, and T loops). Further hydrogen bonds mediate the characteristic L-shaped molecular structure. tRNAs have two regions of fundamental functional importance: the anti-codon, which is responsible for specific mRNA codon recognition, and the 3' end, to which the tRNAs corresponding amino acid is attached (by aminoacyl-tRNA synthetases). tRNAs cope with the degeneracy of the genetic code in two manners: having more than one tRNA (with a specific anti-codon) for a particular amino acid; and 'wobble' base-pairing, i.e. permitting non-standard base-pairing at the 3rd anti-codon position.
Source: Rfam by way of RNAcentral